AUGAACGCUAGCUACAGGCUUAACACAUGCAAGUCGAGGGGCAGCGGGAUUGAAGCUCGCUUCAAUUGCCGGCGACCGGCGCACGGGUGAGUAACGCGUAUCCAACCUUCCGUACACUCAGGGAUAGCCUUUCGAAAGAAAGAUUAAUACCUGAUGGUAUGAUGAGAUUGCAUGAUAGCAUCAUUAAAGAUUUAUCGGUGAUGGAUGGGGAUGCGUCUGAUUAGCUUGUUGGCGGGGUAACGGCCCACCAAGGCGACGAUCAGUAGGGGUUCUGAGAGGAAGGUCCCCCACAUUGGAACUGAGACACGGUCCAAACUCCUACGGGAGGCAGCAGUGAGGAAUAUUGGUCAAUGGACGAGAGUCUGAACCAGCCAAGUAGCGUGCAGGAUGACGGCCCUAUGGGUUGUAAACUGCUUUUAUAAGGGAAUAAAGUGGGAGUCGUGACUCUUUUUGCAUGUACCUUAUGAAUAAGGACCGGCUAAUUCCGUG
This 489-nucleotide ribosomal RNA is filed under the name uncultured bacterium. RNAcentral describes it as "bacterial SSU rRNA". It matches the Rfam family "Bacterial small subunit ribosomal RNA", at positions 29 to 507 of the family's 1533-position model. The record is from RNAcentral.